ACUCAAAGGAAUUGACGGGGACCCGCACAAGCGGUGGAUGAUGUGGUUUAAUUCGAUGCAACGCGAAAAACCUUACCUACCCUUGACAUGCCAGGAAUCUUGCAGAGAUGUGAGAGUGCUCGAAAGAGAACCUGGACACAGGUGCUGCAUGGCCGUCGUCAGCUCGUGUCGUGAGAUGUUGGGUUAAGUCCCGCAACGAGCGCAACCCUUGUCAUUAGUUGCUACGAAAGGGCACUCUAAUGAGACUGCCGGUGACAAACCGGAGGAAGGUGGGGAUGACGUCAGGUCAUCAUGGCCCUUAUGGGUAGGGCUACACACGUCAUACAAUGGCCGGGACAGAGGGCUGCCAACCCGCGAGGGGGAGCUAAUCCCAGAAACCCGGUCGUAGUCCGGAUCGCAGUCUGCAACUCGACUGCGUGAAGUCGGAAUCGCUAGUAAUCGCGGAUCAGCUUGCCGCGGUGAAUACGUUCCCGGGUCUUGCACACACCGCCCGU
This 494-nucleotide ribosomal RNA is filed under the name uncultured bacterium. RNAcentral describes it as "bacterial SSU rRNA". It matches the Rfam family "Bacterial small subunit ribosomal RNA", at positions 899 to 1397 of the family's 1533-position model. The record is from RNAcentral.